AUUUGGUGUCUAUGUGAAACUUGCGUGGGUGUCAAAUUUUGACCUCCCUCGCCUCACUACACUUCCUGCGAGCAGGAAACUAUCAAAGCACUCCGACAAUCUGCUAUCUGAUGCGAAACCUCGCUAUCUAGUCAAGCUGGAACUGAUUGGAGGAGUUGAUCCACUUGCUAGAGAACACCACGUUUCCUCCUGUCUACAGUUCGGACAUUGUCUCCUAUCUAGUCCUUCAGACGAGCUUCAUAGCAGCCAAACAGGUUACAGUCCGCGAAUGCAAAUCUUUGAAGUUUACUACCAGUCUAGAAUUGGCUGGGUGAAAGAUGUCCGUGCGCAUGUUGAGGGAGUUCUAGGUGUUGUGGAAACCUCAGUGUAUGUAUCCUAUCGGACAAUCUUUGUCAGCUCUAAGUGAGAGGAUUGUGAAAGAGAAUACAGUCAUGUAUGUUGCAAUUUAAUGUGAGAGUUCAAUAAUCUUUGGUAGACAAUCAAGUGACACUUGGGAAAUGUAAAGGAAGUGGACAUGCUAUGAUAAUGUAACACGAAUAGCAUAGCAUUGUGCUAUAGUAGAGUAAGUUCUAUAGCUACAUGUAGAAUAUUGUAAGACACCCCACAGUCUGAAAUUUUACAGGUUCCUCAUUCUCAAGAAUGCAAUAAAACACCUCACUUCAUGGUUGAUUUGUGAAAAUUAAGACAGGAGAUGUCGUGCACAU
Long non-coding RNA from Corticium candelabrum, 704 nucleotides. RefSeq lists it as uncharacterized. The transcript has 3 exons. The record is from RefSeq and is a predicted model, not a curated record. Lineage: Eukaryota; Metazoa; Porifera; Homoscleromorpha; Homosclerophorida; Plakinidae.